AUUGAAACGACACACAGCUCAUGUGAUGCCCUGGCAGUCAGAGGCGAUGAAGGACGUGCUAAUCUGCGAAAAGCGCCGGCGAGGUGAUAUGAACCCUUGACCCGGCGAUGUCCGAAUGGGGAAACCCAGUGCAAUCCGUUGCACUAUCGUUAACUGAAUACAUAGGUUAACGAGGCGAACCGGGGGAACUGAAACAUCUAAGUACCCCGAGGAAAAGAAAUCAACCGAGAUUCCCCCAGUAGCGGCGAGCGAACGGGGAGCAGCCCGGAGUCUGAAUCAGCUUGUGUGUUAGUGGAACGGUCUGGAAAGUCCGACGGUACAGGGUGAUAGUCCCGUACACGAAAGCACACUUGCUGUGAACUCGAAGAGUAGGGCGGGACACGUGGUAUCCUGUCUGAAUAUGGGGGGACCAUCCUCCAAGGCUAAAUACUCCUGACUGACCGAUAGUGAACCAGUACCGUGAGGGAAAAGAACCCCGGCGAGGGGAGUGAAAAAGAACCUGAAACCGUGUACGUACAAGCAGUGGGAGCCUCUUUAUGGGGUGACUGCGUACCUUUUGUAUAAUGGGUCAGCGACUUAUAUUCUGUAGCAAGGUUAACCGUAUAGGGGAGCCGAAGGGAAACCGAGUCUUAACUGGGCGUUAAGUUGCAGGGUAUAGACCCGAAACCCGGUGAUCUAGCCAUGGGCAGGUUGAAGGUUGGGUAACACUAACUGGAGGACCGAACCGACUAAUGUUGAAAAA
Molecule: ribosomal RNA, 742 nt
Filed under: Enterobacter hormaechei
Lineage: Bacteria; Pseudomonadati; Pseudomonadota; Gammaproteobacteria; Enterobacterales; Enterobacteriaceae
Description: partial 23S ribosomal RNA
Rfam family: Bacterial large subunit ribosomal RNA
Source: RNAcentral